Molecule: ribosomal RNA, 412 nt
Filed under: uncultured bacterium
Lineage: Bacteria
Description: partial 16S ribosomal RNA
Rfam family: Bacterial small subunit ribosomal RNA
Source: RNAcentral
UGGGGGAAUAUUGCACAAUGGGCGAAAGCCUGAUGCAGCAACGCCGCGUGAGUGAUGAAGGUCUUCGGAUUGUAAAGCUCUGUCUUUUGGGACGAUAAUGACGGUACCAAAGGAGGAAGCCACGGCUAACUACGUGCCAGCAGCCGCGGUAAUACGUAGGUGGCGAGCGUUGUCCGGAUUUACUGGGCGUAAAGGGUGCGUAGGCGGAUGUUUAAGUGAGAUGUGAAAUACCCGGGCUUAACUUGGGUGCUGCAUUUCAAACUGGAUAUCUAGAGUGCAGGAGAGGAGAAUGGAAUUCCUAGUGUAGCGGUGAAAUGCGUAGAGAUUAGGAAGAACACCAGUGGCGAAGGCGAUUCUCUGGACUGUAACUGACGCUGAGGCACGAAAGCGUGGGUAGCAAACAGGAUUAGAU